This 126-nucleotide ribosomal RNA is filed under the name Escherichia coli. RNAcentral's name for it is "partial 16S ribosomal RNA". It matches the Rfam family "Bacterial small subunit ribosomal RNA", at positions 1 to 119 of the family's 1533-position model. Lineage: Bacteria; Pseudomonadati; Pseudomonadota; Gammaproteobacteria; Enterobacterales; Enterobacteriaceae. RNAcentral also lists the same sequence under 17 other names. The record is from RNAcentral.
AAAUUGAAGAGUUUGAUCAUGGCUCAGAUUGAACGCUGGCGGCAGGCCUAACACAUGCAAGUCGAACGGUAACAGGAAGCAGCUUGCUGCUUCGCUGACGAGUGGCGGACGGGUGAGUAAUGUCUG